This 1184-nucleotide long non-coding RNA is filed under the name Mus musculus (house mouse). Its description in RNAcentral is "predicted gene, 47758". The record is from RNAcentral. Lineage: Eukaryota; Metazoa; Chordata; Mammalia; Rodentia; Muridae.
UCUUCAGAAAACCACAGGGAAAAGGCACACUAGGCACUUGUAGAGUUUUUCCUGGAAUGACAUCCUGCGUACACAGGCACAUUUUAAAGUCAAGGAGCUGAAAGCUCAGUGUCUGAUGAGGUACCUGGGUCUCAGCACAGCUGCUCCAACUGGAAAGGCCUAAGAGCCAUAUACAGGCAAUAUGAAGGCUACAGUGUUCCUGUACAAGUUGAAACUUCUGAUUCCCAAACAAGCUGACUCUGUCUGGCAUGAAGGCAUCUGAACAAAAAUGAAAGCUUGCUAUCAUCAGCAUGAUGUUCUGAACUGGACUCAACAUAAGAGAACUUGAACAUGGCGGUACACACUUGCAAUGUGGUGAAGCAAACAGAUCCUUGUGGAUUGCUGGCUAGCCAGCCUUGCCAGCUUUGGAAGCUCUAAGACAAUGGAAGAUACUGUAUAAUUUAAAAGAAAAAAUCCAAAGUAGAUGCUUUCUGAAGACUAACAUCCAAGGUUGUCUUCUGCACUACAUGUACAUGUAUGUUUGAACAAUGCACCCAGGUGUAUAUGUGAGGAAAAAAACAUACACCCAUCAGACAACAUACACCUGUCAGGGAUGUAUGGUACAAAUUUAUGUAUAAUAUACAUAUAUAAAGCUAUUCUUAAGACAUGUUUAAAUAAAAUGAUAGAUUUACCCACAGGUACAUCAAUAGUAACAUGAAACAUACACAUGCUAGAGAGUUGAACAGUUUUGUAGUGAAUUUUCAAGCUUCCAUUGUAUGUUACUUGUAUGUGAGACAGGAAAUGGAAUAGUGGGGUGCAUCAGGUAUAAUGGGAUGCUUCAGGAAUAAUGAGGUGCUGCAGGUAACAGAAAAGGAAAGUCAAUAUAUGGAACUGUAAACUAAUCAAAUACACUCACAUAACUUGAUGUAACUUAUUUACUAUCUAUAAAUAAAGAUCUCAAUACAAGCAUUAUCUCAUGCGGUAGGGAACUUUAAUAUAAUAAAAGAUUUGAUCCACUAGUUUUAUAUAAAUUUAACAUUUUAUUUACUUAAUGGUGUAUUCUUCAAAAAUUCCAAGAAAAAUGUUACCAAGGAUAUGAAGAGAAAUGUACAAAUUUACCAUUGUACUGAAGGACUUUGCAUAAGUUUAUAUGUAAUAGAAGAAACAAAAAGAUACAUAAUUCAAUAAAAUAUUCAGAGAAGCUG